UACAGAGGGUGCAAGCGUUAAUCGGAAUUACUGGGCGUAAAGCGCAUGUUGGUGGUUGAGUACGUUUGAUGUGAAAGCCCCGGGCUUAACCUGGGAAUGGCAUUGAAUACUGCUGAACUAGAGUCGGACAGAGGGCAGUGGAAUUUCCGGUGUAGCGGUGAAAUGCGUAGAGAUCGGAAAGAACACCAGUGGCGAAGGCGGCUGCCUGGGUCCAGACUGACACUUAAGUGCGAAAGCGUGGGGAGCAAACAGG
This 253-nucleotide ribosomal RNA is filed under the name uncultured bacterium. RNAcentral's name for it is "partial 16S ribosomal RNA". It matches the Rfam family "Bacterial small subunit ribosomal RNA", at positions 524 to 776 of the family's 1533-position model. The record is from RNAcentral.